AUUGAACGCUGGCGGCAUGCUUUACACAUGCAAGUCGAACGGCAGCGCGGGCUUCGGCCUGGCGGCGAGUGGCGAACGGGUGAGUAAUAUAUCGGAACGUGCCCAGUAGUGGGGGAUAGCUCGGCGAAAGCCGGAUUAAUACCUCAUACGACCUGAGGGUGAAAGCGGGGGAUCUUCGGACCUCGCGCUAUUGGAGCGGCCGAUGGCAGAUUAGCUAGUUGGUGGGGUAAAGGCCUACCAAGGCGACGAUCUGUAGCUGGUCUGAGAGGACGACCAGCCACACUGGGACUGAGACACGGCCCAGACUCCUACGGGAGGCAGCAGUGGGGAAUUUUGGACAAUGGGCGAAAGCCUGAUCCAGCAAUGCCGCGUGUGUGAUGAAGGCCUUCGGGUUGUAAAGCACUUUUGGCGGGAACGAAAAGGACUGUGCCAAUACCACGGUUCGAUGACGGUACCCGCAGAAUAAGCACCGGCUAACUACGUG
This 484-nucleotide ribosomal RNA is filed under the name uncultured bacterium. RNAcentral describes it as "partial 16S ribosomal RNA". It matches the Rfam family "Bacterial small subunit ribosomal RNA", at positions 30 to 507 of the family's 1533-position model. The record is from RNAcentral.